GGAAGUUCCUAAUGACCGGAUUUGGUGUGUGGCAGUAAAAGGGUAAGAAUGUUUUGUCCAUAUUGUGGCCAUAACGUGGGAGAAGUUGUCAAGUUCUGCGGUUCAUGUGGCAAACAUAUUGAGUUUUUGGCGUUUGUCGACAACAGAUCAAUUCAAGAAAACAUUUCCAUCGAAGACCUCAUUCAGAAAUAUUUCAGAGACGGUUACUCCUAUAAUGAAACUUUGGACAUUUUGGCCUCAAAACAUAAACAGAAGAUCAG
Molecule: long non-coding RNA, 260 nt
Organism: Oreochromis aureus
Lineage: Eukaryota; Metazoa; Chordata; Actinopteri; Cichliformes; Cichlidae
Exons: 3
Source: RefSeq, a predicted model, not a curated record